Molecule: RNA transcript, 9139 nt
Organism: Strigops habroptila (Kakapo)
Lineage: Eukaryota; Metazoa; Chordata; Aves; Psittaciformes; Psittacidae
Gene: ETNK1
Gene name: ethanolamine kinase 1
Exons: 10
Source: RefSeq, a predicted model, not a curated record
AGGCUGCUCCGCGCCGCAGCCGGGGGGAGGUGGAGCCGCUUUAUCGAGAGACCAAGUGGAAAUUUCCCCCUCAGUUGCCGGCUCCGUCGCGGAGGAGACACCAGCGAGACCUGCUUGCCCUUGUUAGCCUGUGCCGUGUCCUGUUUGCCCGCCCGCCGCUAUGUCCAACUACAUCCACGUUCCGCCCGGCUCCCCGGAGGUGCCCAAGCUGGACAUCACUGUCAGCGAGCGGGAGGGGCCCGGCUACCGCCAGGGCGCUCUGCAGCUCCUGCGCCGCCUGCGGCCCCACUGGAGACCCGAGGAGGUGACACUGCAGCUGUUCACAGAUGGAAUCACCAAUAAACUAAUUGGCUGCUACGUGGGUGACAUAACAGACGAUGUCGUUCUAGUUAGGAUCUAUGGAAAUAAGACCGAGCUUUUAGUAGAUCGAGAUGAGGAAGUGAAGAGUUUCCGUGUGUUGCAGGCCCAUGGCUGUGCACCUCAACUAUACUGUACUUUCAAUAAUGGCUUGUGCUACGAGUUCAUGCAGGGUGAAGCACUGGAUCCAGAGCAUGUAUGCAAUCCAGAUAUUUUCAGACUCAUUGCCAGACAGCUUGCUAAAAUCCAUACUAUUCAUGCACACAAUGGAUGGAUCCCUAAAUCUAAUCUGUGGCUGAAGAUGGGGAAAUAUUUCUCUCUCAUACCCACAGAAUUUGCAGAUGAGGAAGUAAAUAAAAGGUUUUUAAGUGACAUUCCAAGUCCUCAAGUUCUUCAGGAGGAGAUGGCCUGGAUGAAGGAAAGACUGUCAAAUUUAGGAUCACCAGUGGUACUCUGUCACAAUGACCUGUUGUGUAAGAAUAUUAUUUACAACAAGAAACGAGGAGUCUGUGGGUGCUCAGUGCUUCUGAAGACUGAGGGCCCCAGUGGCUCACCUGAUGAACAGGAUGGGAGAGAACUCAGGAUACGUCGUUCUGCUGUGGUAACUACAGCUAGGACUUGCACGUUGAAGCUUCAAUGCUAUAUUACCCUGAGUGGAGCAUUUUCCCCAGCUUCACUGCAGGUAAAUGUAACUUGGAAACAUUUGGGGCUGUUUGCUGCUUUAACAGUCUAUAAGACUACAUAGUUUCAUAGUUUUGAGGGCUUGAGGAGCCUGAUGGUUUCUUCAGACUAGUUUAAGCCAGCUAAAAAAAGCUAUGAUUAAGAAUAGACUUGCUUUGUAAGUGUGGUUGGAGGAAGCAGGAAAUACCAACAUGUUAAAGGAAAUAUCAGCAUGUUGCAAUGUGUUAGUCCACUGUGGUUGCACACUUUUGUGAGAAUAAACAGGACUGUUCUUUUAAGUAAGGGAAAAAUUGAUCUGCUGUUUCUACAUAAAGUUUAAAUAGAGGAUCCUCUGCGGUAUUUCUUAUUUUGAAGGUAAGGGAUGCCCUCUUGUGGUAGAAGUUAAAAUUGAAAUUCUGCUAUUCAGAGUUUAAAACCAGAGCUAUAAGCUCGAAGUAAUUAUUUAAGAGCUUUCUUGAAUGAAUAUUCAUGGAAAUCGUGUUAUAUAAAAAUCACAACCUUACCCUGGGAUGUCUGAGCGCACACAACUGGGCACAAGUAUGGGUGUGUUUUGUUUUUUUCCCCAAAACUUCAAAGAACACCAAACGAUUAGGGCUCUGACUUCAUUUGACAUGGACUCUGAUGUUGCUGCUGUUGUGUCUCACAUAGGUGAUGUGCAGUUCAUAGAUUAUGAGUACUCUGGAUACAACUACCUGGCUUAUGACAUUGGAAAUCACUUCAAUGAAUUUGCAGGAGUAAACGAGGUAGACUACAGCCUUUAUCCUAACAGAAAAUUACAGGAACAAUGGCUCAGAUCUUACCUUGAGGCCUACAAAGAAUAUAAAGGAUUUGGCACAGAAGUCAGUGAAAAAGAAGUUGAAGUUCUAUAUGUCCAAGUCAAUCAGUUUGCACUGGCUUCCCACUUCUUUUGGGGACUGUGGGCUUUAAUUCAAGCCAAAUAUUCCACCAUUGACUUUGAUUUUCUAGGGUAUGCAAUUGUUCGCUUUAACCAGUAUUUCAAAAUGAAGCUGGAGGUCAUGACAUUAACUCUUCCUGAGUAAUGAAGAGGAAAAAACUUAACCAAGUGGAUAGAGAACCCCUGAAUCUUUUCUGAGAACAGAUACUGGAAAAAAGCUAAACAUUUGUUGAAGUUCUGUUAAUGCUCACUUGGUGGUUCUUGCUUUAUAAAUAAACUGCCUCUAAACAGUCCUUCAAUGUUAAAUUUAAUAUGAAAAGCAUAUGUACUGCUGUUGAUAUAAAACGGAUUAGAAACUUGCUAAAUCUAUAAAAAGUUGUAGAAAUGGCAAUUUAAUCCUUCUUUGUAAUUUAACAUGUUGUAUGUGAAUUAUUUAUUAUAAGUUUAACAUGAUUCCAUUGCUGCUUUCAUCAGUUUUUUUGUAAAAGUUGGGUGCAAACAGUGAAGUUGUUCCAAAGGAUUUGUUUAACAACUUAUUUUAUUGAAGUUGUGUUAACUUAUAUUAAAGAAAACAUCGUCAGAGAAUAUUAACCUUUUAGAUGUGUACAAGCAAAAUGAGUGAUGAUAGACUUGUGAGAUCACCCCUGUGGUGUAACUAGGGAAAAAGGUGAGAAUGAUUUUUUUUUUUUUUUUUUUUUUUUUUUGUGUGUGUCCCUUUUUUUCUUCCUUUUUUUUUUUUUUUGCCCCCCUCCCCCCCCCCCGAAAAAUGUAGCUUUCCAUAUGAUGGUACUUUUCUUUUGUCUCGAAUCGAGUUUGCUGAAAUGAUAAAUAACAUUUUGGGGGUUUUCCUUUCUUUUUCCUUCUAAGCUGUAGAAAUGUGGAAGUUCUGUGGCCAUAAGAUUCUGUUGAGGAUAUGUACCAUCAUAGUGUUAGGUGGGCAGUGUACUGUCUCUAACUUCUGUGGGAAAGCUGCUUGUUUAUUAAGUGUACUUUUAAAGCGAAAGACCACUAUCCCAAACCUAUCGCUUUUUGAAACUUGAUUCUAAAUUUGAACGCUAUUCUGGUGUCUAUAUUUGAUGUGCUUCAGCAGUAUCUAGCAGAAUGGACUAUUGAGCUGAAGACUAGUGAACAGAGAUCCUGUUGCACUGGGGAGCAAGACACUUAGGUUUACAGUUUUGUAUUGUUGACAUCUUUUUGCUUUGUCAGCUUCUAACCUUGGAUUCUAGUCUUAAAUACUUGGUCCUUAAAUACUUGCAGUUUCUGGAAUGUCUAGGGUUUCUUUUUCUUUUUUUUUUUUUUUUUUUUCCUGUGGCAGCAAAUUACUUUCAAAGUCUCCAGUUUGAAGGAUAAUCUGGAAUAGUCCAUGACUUGAACAAUGGGGCUUUGAUCAUCACAGAUUUUCUUAUUUCUUAAAGCUAUUAUACCAAGAAUGGUCUGGAUUGCAAAAUGUGAAUUAAAAAGAAAAUGUUUACUUAACAAAACAAUGUAUAAGUUUGCAUGGAAAAGAGGCUUUAAAUCUGGAAAGGGGGGUGGGUGGGCAGGGGAAGAAACCCACAACAGAAAAAUAGAACCUGACAAGGCAGUGUGGAGUCGGGCAAGCAUGUACUCAACUCUAAUUAUACUCUGAAAAACUUUGCACUUUGGUCACAUAAGUGCCCACAUGUACAAAGUCUGUGUGUGUGCAUAUACAGGUGCAAACACAAACUUACCCGAAUAGUAAAUAUUGUGGGGAGUCUGUUUUAUAGACCCCAGUGAAAAUAUUUAUUCCAAAUUGCUUUAUGGCACACUGCUCUGUGUGUAUGUGUGUAUAUGUGUAUACAUACAUAUGUACACAUAUAUACACAUAUGUGCUUUGCAACAGCUUGGAUUGAUUCAGGACAAAGAAAAUUGAUGUGAAUGAAAAAUUUUCACCUUUAAAGACCAUUUUGAAUGGCGUUCUGUUGUUUUACAAAAGCAAGGUUUGGAACUUUUUUAUUCCUCUUGUUUAUAUUCAUCUCUGAAUGCUUCCCUUUUUUAUUUCCUGCAGUCAGAACCUUAAAAAGCCUAAUACAAAUGGGAGAACUGGGAUUAUUUUUUUUUUUUUUUUUUUUUUUUUUUUUUGGUAACUUGAAAUUCUGUAACCAUUUUUGUUAGCAUUUAUUAGCUGAAGGCUACUAUGCUGGACAAAUUUUCUUGGUAGUUAAAUACAAACAAAUAGCUAAAAUAGGCACAGUUUUCUUUGUAGCAGUUUUCAAGGAUGUUGCUAGAGCUCAUGAAUGCACUGAAGACUUUAAUUUUCUGUACUUUCUCCCUGUUGAUAUUAUCGAUGUAUGUUGGGUAAUACCCUGCUGUCUUGGUAGUUCCUUUAAGUUCAGCAAGAUCUGCUCUGGAAGUAUGAUAAAGAUAUUUGAACUCUUAACUACUAUUUUCUUCAAGUGGUGGCUUUAUUUCUGGCAGUGUUGCUUUGUAUUUGUGAAAUAUUUGAAAAAGACUGUGAAGUUCACUUGGUCCUGGGAAAUCCAACACUUGACAGCUCCUAACUUUCCCAACAGUUGGCAAAACACAUUCCCUUUUUAGGUACCAGUACUAUUUAGGUUGGGAGUUAGUGUGAUUUUUUUUUUUCGGUAGUAUUUUUGUUUGUAUAGCUCAAGUAGCAAUAACUGUAGGAGUUGAAGCUUGCUUCUGCAGAACCAAAGCUCUUCAUGAGUGCAGCUCAAUCUCCUUGUGGAAUGAAUUUCCACUGAAUCUCUUAAAAGCACUUUGAAGCAGAUAGUAAAUACUGCAAGCUUUUCCUGAGCCACUUCGAAGAAGCACAAGGAUUAUCACAGGUUACAGUGGUUGACUUUGCAGUACUGGUAGAGGCUUUCAUUUUGCAUGUUGAAAUUCAUUUUACACACUGAAAUGCUGCUUUGCAUCAGCUUUCUUUCAAGACAAAUGCAGAUUAAAACAAUUCUUGUUAAGUUCUGAGGAAGUACUGUAACACAUUUUCCGAAAUGAAAUGCCGGUUACCUUGAGCCUUGUUCCACAUCAGUAUGAGCCGGUAGCACUCGGAUAUUGUUGCUUGUUAAGGGAUAUCUCCCAGAUGUGUUAAGUUUGAAGCAGUAGUUUGCAAUAGCGUUGCAGAUCGUAAGGUAGCUUGAAACUGUGAAUACAGGACAUUCUGAAUGUAAGUUAGGUACUAGAGCACCGAACUAGAGAACAUGUACUCGUUUCAAUUAAUUUAUCUCCGUCUCUUCAAUAGCAAUGUUAAGAUAUUUCAAAUGACUGAGCUCUAGAAACAUCCUGUAUUAGUUUUGACUGUGAUUUGCCAAGAAGAUACUCUGUUGCCUUUAUGUUAAGCUAAGGGCAUGAAUGCCGAAAUUAAUAAUCCUUACUGUAGUUAAACCUAUAUUGUAAAUAUGAAGAGGGUUAUUAGUAAGGGCAUUCUUGCAUAAAUAGCAUCAAGUCAAUAGACCAUAGUGGCCUGGUUGCUUUUGUAAAGCAGAAUAGUGUGAAUUUUUUUCUUCUCAUUUCUGCAGUCAGAUCUGGCUAUUCCAUGGCUGAUUCCUUAGGUCACCGAAGCAUUAAAGAUUUCUGAAUGGUAACUGGUCUUUUGUCACAUAACUUUGAAUUCCUUCAUUGACACUUUUUGAUUUGCAUUUUAAAAGGACUUAAAAAAAUUUGCAUUAACCAGGUCUGACUGUAUGUGUAUAUACAACAGUGUAAAUAACCAUUUGUAAAUUAGUGUGAAUUGUACUGUAUCUUGCAUUUAUGGACUUGUGUAUUGCAUUGUAUUCUCUCCUAUUUUGUAGAAAUUCUGAUGUAAAGAAGAAAUCUAACUCUGUGUGCGAACUUCUUUUGUUAAAUUGACCUGUAACAGAGCAUAAUAGCUUUAUGUUAAGGUAUCCAUUUAUAGCCUUGGGCAUCCAGUGUCUUUUCUCUUCCCUGUUAGCUUUUUUGUCAUCUUGCUCUUGGGAAUGAUUCUGGGAAUAAAGGAAUUGAUGCAGUACUAAGAUGAAGAGAAAGUCUGUUCUAAUAAUAGGGCAAACUAUGUGUCAGAGGUACGUGUAGUACCUGUGGUGUAGGGAAAGCUGUUAAAUUUGUUUACUUCCAAAAAUUUCCUAUACGUUCUUGAAUGCUGGUGACUUCUAAACGUGAGCAUGUUGAAUUGAGUGUGCUCCCAUGGUGACAGCAAUUGAGUUAGUUGUGAUAGAAGUCCCCCAACUUAAAAGGUUUUUGGUGGAUAUAGCCUUAUAAUAGGGUGAGUUGUUAACUUGUAAAUGCUUAUGAUAAAUGCCCAAAUCACUAAAAUAGUUCUGCCAUGUUUUCUUCCGCACUAGGCUUAUUGGUAGCCCCUUUAGACUACUUGAAACUUAACCUAGGUGUUUUCCUUGUGUGCCACUCCUUCGUCCUCCUCUCUGUGCCCACACCUUUCAUCGUUAGGGGACACAUGGAUAGAAAAGGUUCCUUUCUGUACGUAAUCGUCACUAUUUCCUUUUUGAAAACUCUUCUGUUUUGUCAGUAUGUGACUUCUCAUCAGAUUUUUUUUUUUUUUUUUUUUUUGUGUAGGAAGUCCCUUUCUGAAGAGGCCUUUAAUCUUGGAAGCAUAGACAUAAUGAAGCAUAGUUUUCCCCAAAUUCCUAACUAUAUUUAAUUACUGUUGCCUUUCACUGUCCAUUUUGAAGUCCAUAGGACCCUUAAAGCUCUUAGUUUAUUCUUGUCACUGCUGUGUUUAGUAACUGCUGAAAAAUACUGAUGUGAAAGUCUCAUUGUCUGACAGAUGGAUCUUGAUACAGUUCGAGCACCCUGUCAGCUUUACCUGCACCAGAUGACAGGUACACAUGCUUAUCAAUGUUGAUGUUUUAAGUUACUAGGGUCCUGGGAAGUGAGUUUAUUAAAGAUUAGUCAAGAGGAAGGAUGGGCCCAGUAAAUGUAAGUAAAAGGAAAUAAUUCACAAGGAAAUCCAAGCUUAAGUUUCUGAUGUAGCAAGGUAUUGGAUAUGCUUGUUUGCUUGCAUGUUUUAAGGAUUAGAGCGAAUUGCAAAGGGUAAUAUUUGUUUCAAAAUGAAGUUCAGACUUUUUUUUUUUUUUUUUUUUUUUAAAGCCUUUGGUAUCUAACAGAAGCUUACAGAAUAACCUUUUGUUACUCCUCCCAAAUAGAAGUCUUCAAACAAAUUUUGGUAACUCUGAUUAAAUAAGUUUGCUCCAUAGCCCAGUGGAAUGUAUCUCUUGCUUGAGAUAGUCCUUCCUGCAGUUUGCAGAGGAGGUUUGCCACAUCUCACCUGUCUGUGUUUGAGGUGGCUGUCUAGUCUUGAUUUGUCUCCAUGUUUUUGUAUUGUUUACUGUGUUCUUGGAUGCCUUCUAAGGUGUGCUAGAUUACUAAACCACUGGAAUUAGCUACUGUCUCCUAUCAUCUCUUCCACUCCAUGCAGGUUGCAACUGUAGUAGUAGAACAGAAGCAUUUGACCAAACCUUGAGGUAAUGCAAGGCCGAUGUUGAGCAGAAUUGCAGCUAAUACUUACACCUUCCCCCUGCCUCCCCCCAUUUUAUUUCUGUGGGCUGGAAGCUGAUUGUUUUCAUUAGUUGUAAAAGAUAUAAAAAGCCAAAAACAUUUGGUCUUGUACAAGGUAGGAUUUCCAUUAGCCAGCCACAAAACUUUUAAGAAGGAGGCUUGUGGCAGUGAGAAACCACACAAAUCCAGAUGGGACAUGUUGAAUGGAACCAAACUGUGGCUUACGGACCUCUGGUGUGGAAUGUUUGCACAUGCCAUUGCAUGGAGGUGCUCCAUCUAAGUGUUGGGAUGAGACACUGGAAAAAGCGUUGUUUGUUUAUUUUUAAGUGGCUAUUCCAAUUCGGUCUGACCUUUAGAGAUGGUAAGCUCUGUGAUUCGGAAACCAGUCAACCUGGGGGGAGAGAGAAGAAAUGUUCCAAAAGAUUAUUUAAAAAACGCAAACCCUUGUGUAGUUAAUUUGCAACCCUUAAGUGUGUGUUGGGCUUUUUUCUGUGUAUCGGUGGUAGUCUGCACCAUUCUUGCUGAUAAAGGGUUUUAUUAUUGUGUAAUGUCAGAAAACUAGUUGGAAUGGCCCUGAAGCCCAUUUAUGGCCUUAGAACAGGUGCCAGGCUUCACUAGAUGACCAAACUUCUGGUUUGAUGUUUUACAUCAGCUGUUUCUGUAGCUGCCUAAAAUUGUUGAGCUGCUGUCUUGGGUUCCCUGUGGUGAGGAACUUAAUUCAUGGCCUUCCCAAAUGAGUUUGAUGUGAUGUUUAUGGAGAUUAUGCAGAGAAAACUUGGUUGGAAAUAAGUCGAGUGAACAUUUAGAAAGCGAAUUUAAGUUACUUGAAAUCUGCCAAACUUUGAAAAUAAAUGCUGAAAUAACUUCAUAAAAUAAAUAACUUCAUAAAUGAGAAAUAACUUCAGGUACCGCACCAGCCUGGUUUUGUGGUAUUGCAGCUGCAUUUUUCCUAUGUUAAAUGUUUUUUUCCCCACAUAAAGAUCCGUGCAAAGCACAAGGUAAGAGAGACCAUGGAAGAGAAACAUGAAAAAUACUGUACAAAAUGCAGCGUGAACUGGAAAAAAGUCUAUGUUUCUAAGCUUUUGCUAAUAGUAAUUCUUGUUAUCAGAAAAUGGUAGGUGUCACAUCUUCAAUGUGUGAAAGAUUAUAAUUUUUUUGGUAGAAAUGUUCCUUUUAACAUUUUGUAUCUCAAAUGCAGUCUGUGGUAGUUAAUAAUGCUGCUUUGUACACAAGUGCUUUGAAUAGUCUCAGCACCAAGAAUGUAUCCAAUCUUUUUAAAAUAUGAUUUAAAAGUUAGAUUGAUUGGUUCUGUCUCAAGCCUCUUGAUCCAACUAUCUAAAACCCUUUACUUGCAGAAACUGGGCCAUAGCAUAUUAGGGAUAUAUUCUCUUUUGUGUCUUUUUUUUUUUUUUUUGUUACUGCAUAUUUUUCAGUGUUCUUCUAAACAUGAGUCCAUUCAUGUCCUGUGAAUAAAAUAAGCUCAAUUUACAAGUAAGUGUUUGUCAUCUUCCAGCACUGUCAUCCCUUCAAAAGUCCCCAUGACCCUUCUUGUAUGUUGUGAAGUUUAGAUGAAUCAUUUAUCCAUUGGAGUGAAAUUGUAUUUCUUUUGAACUAAAUGUUAUUGAAGCUAUUAUAAGGCCUUCUACCACUGAUUAAAUGAAGUAAUGUACCUUUCAAAGAGAUUUAUAUUGUGUAAAUAAUUUCAAACUGCAACAAUAAAGUUUGUUUCUAACUGCA